UGGCUGGAUCCAGAGAAAGCAGAUUGGGGCUGAUGAAGGAGUGUCUGCCUCUAACCUCAUUGUGAUGCGUUACUGGUGCAUGUGUGGCUAGGAACCCUGGGAAUGAAUGAGUUGUGUGAGCAAGCUCGUCUCACCUGCUCCCAAAGGUGUGAGAAAAAUCAGACGCUGCAUCAACCCGGAGACCACAAGUUACUGUUUAUUCCCUGAAGCUUGCUGGACUGCAUACGUGUGAUACUGUGUCCAACUUUGUGUGGGUUCUGGGGAUCUGAACUCAAGUCCUCGGGCUUAUGAGGCAACGGGCAUGAAAGAGUCAUCUGACCCCUGGUUGAGAACCUCUGCUUUAGUGGCUACAGGGUGCUAUUCGGACAGAAGGCGUGUUUCAUCUCUGGCCUCGCGCUCCCAAGGAAGGAGAGACUCAACACGCUGUGCAGCCCAACAUCCCACAACUUGGUGGACAUUCUGGACUGUCAUCUGAAAAUAGGGACCCUGGAUCCAGGGGUCUGUGAAGGCAGUGGGAUCUCUCCACGUCCUUUGAACUGCUGACAACAUCUCUUGGAACAUAACACAAGCGUUUUACCUGUGAUGAGGCGGCGUGAGGCUGAUGACCCUGUGACAGAUUCCUUUGCGCUGGGCUGGCACCGCUGCAACUCGGUGUGACAAAGCGCCCGCUCUCAUGCUGAUCGGGAGCACUGAUUGCCAGCUAUUGACGUCUUUGAUGAAUAAAAAAUGGGAAGCGAAA
Molecule: long non-coding RNA, 739 nt
Organism: Rattus norvegicus (Norway rat)
Lineage: Eukaryota; Metazoa; Chordata; Mammalia; Rodentia; Muridae
Source: RefSeq, a predicted model, not a curated record